Long non-coding RNA from Sander lucioperca (pikeperch), 574 nucleotides. RefSeq lists it as uncharacterized. Lineage: Eukaryota; Metazoa; Chordata; Actinopteri; Perciformes; Percidae. The record is from RefSeq and is a predicted model, not a curated record. The transcript has 3 exons.
UGGAAUGAUGUCCCAUCAUCAGACACGGUGUAUGUCCGAAGAAACCCCCCUAGGAAUAGGCGCCCACCUAAAAGACUGUCCUAUCAGCUGAGAGCCAUAGACUCUGAAUCAGCUCAGCAGAAGAUUGAUCGGGGCCGGGAGAUAUGGCUGAGAGCCAAAGCCAAGCUGAGGGGAGAGUAGCAAAGGUAGACAGUGAGGCAUCCAUUAAGUCAAUUACAUGUACUGAUUGACACUGUAACAAGCAUUUGCUUACACAUUUAACACCCCCCCCCCAUUCUCUGUUGUUCCUGGUUAUAUUUUGCAUACAUGUUAUGGGACUUUUGGUUGAUAUCUGAUGGCCGAGACGCCAUCAAACAAAGAGUGGGUAAAUGUAAGGAAGUGUUCUAUAUUGGCCAGCAGAUGGCGCCCUUGUUUUAUUUUGAGUGCUCCUUUUCUGUUUGGCUUGCCGUAACAUGGAGCCUUUUUGACCCUCCGCGGCCACCGGAGGUCAUAUUCUCUUUUGUUUUCCGAAAGGUAAGCCGAGUAUCAGAGCACUGUAACACUGACAUGUUGAUUUAAAUUAUAAAUAGGUUGG